Molecule: ribosomal RNA, 345 nt
Filed under: Triticum aestivum (bread wheat)
Lineage: Eukaryota; Viridiplantae; Streptophyta; Magnoliopsida; Poales; Poaceae
Description: partial small subunit ribosomal RNA
Source: RNAcentral
AUGAAUAUGGUUGCAUACAUUUCCUCUGUCUGUACUUGCACUCCUCCCUCUAUCAACUCUUGCUUGAUCAAGCUCUUCUAUUAUGUCAUCUGGUCCACCAAUUGCAUCAACAACAACAUCACCAACAAGCACCCGUGUACUAUCCAAUGCUCAACAUACUCUAGCUCCCAUCGCCAGAAACCACAAAUUAUCUAUCAAGCACACACACACAAAACUAGAAAUUUGGAGCUAGAAAAAACAGUUCUAGACCUAAGAGAACAAUCAAUGGGCGUGCUCCUCGGUGUUGGACAUGUAGAACUUACCCGUCGUGCCACAGUAAGGGCAAGGGAUCAGUGGCACCACUAG